GUAGUCCUAGCCGUAAACGGUGCGCAUUUGAGGUGAGAGGAUUCGACCCCUUUCGUCUCGUAGCUAACGCGAUAAAUGCGCCGCCUGGGGAGUACGGUCGCAAGAUUAAAACUCAAAGAAAUUGACGGGGGCCCGCACAAGCGGUGGAGCAUGUGGCUUAAUUCGAUGCAACGCGAAGAACCUUACCUGGCCUUGACAUGUACGUAGUAGAAGUAUGAAAGUAUGACGAGGUAGCAAUACCAGCGUACACAGGUGCUGCAUGGCUGUCGUCAGCUCGUGCCGUGAGGUGUUCGGUUAAGUCCGGUAACGAGCGCAACCCCUAUGAUCUGUUGCCACCCUCAGCAAUGAGGAGCACUCUGAUCAGACUGCCCUGCAUAACGGGGA
Molecule: ribosomal RNA, 384 nt
Filed under: uncultured bacterium
Lineage: Bacteria
Description: bacterial SSU rRNA
Rfam family: Bacterial small subunit ribosomal RNA
Source: RNAcentral